CCUACGAGUGGCAGCAGUGAGGAAUAUUGGUCAAUGGGCGCGAGCCUGAACCAGCCAAGUAGCGUGAAGGAUGACUGCCCUACGGGUUGUAAACUUCUUUUAUAAAGGAAUAAAGUGAGGCACGUGUGCCUUUUUGUAUGUACUUUAUGCAUAAGGAUCGGCUAACUCCGUGCCAGCAGCCGCGGUAAUACGGAGGAUCCGAGCGUUAUCCGGAUUUAUUGGGUUUAAAGGGAGCGUAGAUGGGUUGUUAAGUCAGUUGUGAAAGUUUGCGGCUCAACCGUAAAAUUGCAAUUGAUACUGGCAGUCUUGAGUACAGUUGAGGUAGGCGGAAUUCGUGGUGGAGCGGUGAAAUGCUUAGAUAUCACGAAGAACUCCGAUUGCGAAGGCAGCUUACUAAACUGCAACUGACAUUGAUGCUCGAAAGUGUGGGUAUCAAACAGGAUUAGAUACCCCAGUAGUC
RNAcentral lists this ribosomal RNA (460 nucleotides) under uncultured bacterium. RNAcentral's name for it is "partial 16S ribosomal RNA". It matches the Rfam family "Bacterial small subunit ribosomal RNA", at positions 338 to 795 of the family's 1533-position model. The record is from RNAcentral.